GACGAACGCUGGCGGCGUGCUUAACACAUGCAAGUCGAACGAAGAGCGACGGAAGCCUGCUUCUAUCAAUCUUAGUGGCGAACGGGUGAGUAACGCGUAAUCAACCUGCCCUUCAGAGGGGGACAACAGUUGGAAACGACUGCUAAUACCGCAUACGAUCUAAUCUCGGCAUCGAGGAUGGAUGAAAGGUGGCCUCUACAUGUAAGCUAUCACUGAAGGAGGGGAUUGCGUCUGAUUAGCUAGUUGGAGGGGUAACGGCCCACCAAGGCGAUGAUCAGUAGCCGGUCUGAGAGGAUGAACGGCCACAUUGGGACUGAGACACGGCCCAGACUCCUACGGGAGGCAGCAGUGGGGAAUCUUCCGCAAUGGACGAAAGUCUGACGGAGCAACGCCGCGUGAGUGAUGACGGCCUUCGGGUUGUAAAGCUCUGUUAAUCGGGACGAAAGGCCUUCUUGCGAAUAGUGAGAAGGAUUGACGGUACCGGAAUAGAAAGCCACGGCUAACUACGUG
RNAcentral lists this ribosomal RNA (510 nucleotides) under uncultured bacterium. RNAcentral's name for it is "partial 16S ribosomal RNA". It matches the Rfam family "Bacterial small subunit ribosomal RNA", at positions 28 to 507 of the family's 1533-position model. The record is from RNAcentral.